RNAcentral lists this ribosomal RNA (434 nucleotides) under uncultured bacterium. RNAcentral describes it as "bacterial SSU rRNA". It matches the Rfam family "Bacterial small subunit ribosomal RNA", at positions 355 to 786 of the family's 1533-position model. The record is from RNAcentral.
UGAGGAAUAUUGGUCAAUGGGCUGAGGCCUGAACCAGCCAAGUCGCGUGAGGGAAGACGGUCCUAUGGAUUGUAAACCUCUUUUGUCGGGGAGCAACGACGUCACGAGUGACGGAAGUGAGAGUACCCGAAGAAAAAGCAUCGGCUAACUCCGUGCCAGCAGCCGCGGUAAUACGGAGGAUGCGAGCGUUAUCCGGAUUUAUUGGGUUUAAAGGGUGCGUAGGCGGACUGUUAAGUCAGCGGUAAAAAAUUCGGGGCCCAACCCCGUCAUGCCGUUGAAACUGGCGGACUAGAGUGGGCGAGAAGUAUGCGGAAUGCGAGGUGUAGCGGUGAAAUGCAUAGAUAUCACGCAGAACUCCGAUUGCGAAGGCAGCAUACCGGCGCCCAACUGACGCUGAGGCACGAAAGCGUGGGGAUCGAACAGGAUUAGAUACC